GGGGAAUAUUGCACAAUGGGGGAAACCCUGAUGCAGCGACGCCGCGUGAGCGAUGAAGUAUUUCGGUAUGUAAAGCUCUAUCAGCAGGGAAGAAAAUGACGGUACCUGACUAAGAAGCCCCGGCUAACUACGUGCCAGCAGCCGCGGUAAUACGUAGGGGGCAAGCGUUAUCCGGAUUUACUGGGUGUAAAGGGAGCGUAGACGGCAUGGCAAGCCAGAUGUGAAAGCCCGGGGCUCAACCCCGGGACUGCAUUUGGAACUGUCAGGCUAGAGUGUCGGAGAGGAAAGCGGAAUUCCUAGUGUAGCGGUGAAAUGCGUAGAUAUUAGGAGGAACACCAGUGGCGAAGGCGGCUUUCUGGACGAUGACUGACGUUGAGGCUCGAAAGCGUGGGGAGCAAAC
This 400-nucleotide ribosomal RNA is filed under the name uncultured bacterium. RNAcentral describes it as "bacterial SSU rRNA". It matches the Rfam family "Bacterial small subunit ribosomal RNA", at positions 356 to 773 of the family's 1533-position model. The record is from RNAcentral.